GACGAACGCUGGCGGCGUGCUUAACACAUGCCAGUCGAACGAAGAGCGAUGGAAGCUUGCUUCUAUCAAUCUUAGUGGCGGACGGGUGAGUAACGCGUAAUCAACCUGCCCUUCAGAGGGGGACAACAGUUGGAAACGACUGCUAAUACCGCAUACGAUCUAAACUCGGCAUCGAGGAUAGAUGAAAGGUGGCCUCUACAUGUAAGCUAUCACUGAAGGAGGGGAUUGCGUCUGAUUAGCUAGUUGGAGGGGUAACGGCCCACCAAGGCGAUGCUCAGUAGCCGGUCUGAGAGGAUGAACGGCCACAUUGGGACUGGGACACGGCCCAGACUCCUAAGGGAGGCAGCAGUGGGGAAUCUUCCGCAAUGGACGGAAGUCUGACGGAGCAACGCCGCGUGAGUGAUGACGGCCUUCGGGUUGUAAAGCUCUGUUAAUCGGGACGAAAGGCCUUCUUGCGAAUAGUGAGAAGGAUUGACGGUACCGGAAUAGAAAGCCACGGCUAACUACGUG
Molecule: ribosomal RNA, 510 nt
Filed under: uncultured bacterium
Lineage: Bacteria
Description: partial 16S ribosomal RNA
Rfam family: Bacterial small subunit ribosomal RNA
Source: RNAcentral